GCUUGUGUGGCGGAACUGGUAGACGCGCACGACUCAAAAUCGUGUGGCCUUUGGUCAUGUGGGUUCGAUUCCCACCACAAGCACCA
RNAcentral lists this transfer RNA (86 nucleotides) under Candidatus Faecisoma merdavium. RNAcentral's name for it is "tRNA-Leu". It matches the Rfam family "tRNA". From Rfam's summary of the family: Transfer RNA (tRNA) molecules are approximately 80 nucleotides in length. Lineage: Bacteria; Bacillati; Mycoplasmatota. The record is from RNAcentral.